RNAcentral lists this long non-coding RNA (914 nucleotides) under Mytilus galloprovincialis (Mediterranean mussel). The record is from RNAcentral. Lineage: Eukaryota; Metazoa; Mollusca; Bivalvia; Mytilida; Mytilidae.
GUUGGAUUAUAGUUAUUGACAAAUUUGAUGGAAUGCCACGAUAUUGCAAGUAUGACAAGAUACCUGGAAAGACCUACCCAUAUAUUUUGUAUGGAACAAAUCAUCACAUGAAUAAAUUUGGUAUGUCAGACGAUAUUAUUAUUAAUAAAAUACUAAAUAAGUUCUGACUUACAUUUCAGAUUCAUUAAUGUUAAUUUGUUUUUUUCCUGGACAUACAUGACAUAUUUGCAACUGAAAAUUUAUGAACCAACAAUGAAUCAAUCUUUAAUUGUCCACAUUUUGAACAGAGCAAACCCGGUAUUAGGUGUACUCUUAUAAUAAAUUGCCCUGCACGUUGUAUACUUAAAUUUGAUUGUAACAAUCCUUAUACUUAUAAUUGUCAAUUUUGUGUGUACCUCUCACAAAUUCAAUGGUACUUUGAUAAUAGAAAAAAUAUUGAGUUACUAACAAAAACCACUUCAAUUUUAUUUGUCUUAAUAACAUGUUUUUAUUGUAGAACAUGUAGAAGCUGGAGUUGCUGACAUGAUGGUUAUAUCUGUUUCAACAUUGGCUUGAAAUGAAACAGUGUAUUAAAAAACUGAACGUACCGAAAUAAAAAAAAAAGAAAAAAAAAGAAGAAAUGAAAAUUGAAUUCGUCUUAACCUCAAACAAUUACUGGCACAUAUUUUAUUUCUAAUACACACUUCAUCCUUUGCUGCUGAUCUAUAUUAAGUUUUCUAAAAUAAGAAAACUAGUCCGUCGACUUCAAAACUGGAACAUAUAUCACUGACAGAGACGUUCAAGAGAAAACCAGUCUCAUCAUAUAAUCAUUGUUAUAAUGCAGUAGCCUGACUUCGAUAGCUCAAGAAUCAAGAAUACUUUAUUAUUAAGAAGACAACAAAUAAUACAAAAUGUGAACUGAAAACAUCCAACCG